GGACGGGUGAGUAACACGUGGGCAACCUGCCUUACAGUCUGGGAUAACCUCGGGAAACCGGGGCUAAUACCGGAUAACCAUCCAUGCCGCAUGGCAUGGACGUAAAAGAGGGGAUAUCUCUCGCUGUGAGAUGGGCCCGCGGCGCAUUAGCUAGUUGGUGAGGUAACGGCUUACCAAGGCAACGAUGCGUAGCCGACCUGAGAGGGUGAUCGGCCACACUGGAACUGAGACACGGUCCAGACUCCUACGGGAGGCAGCAGUAGGGAAUCAUCCGCAAUGGGCGCAAGCCUGACGGUGCAACGCCGCGUGAGUGAAGAAGGUUUUCGGAUCGUAAAGCUCUGUUAUUCGGGAAGAACAAGUAGCGGUCGAAGAGGCCGUUACCGUGACGGUACCGAAUCAGAAAGCCCCGGCUAACUACGUGCCAGCAGCCGCGGUAAUACGUAGGGGGCAAGCGUUGUCCGGAAUUAUUGGGCGUAAAG
RNAcentral lists this ribosomal RNA (479 nucleotides) under uncultured bacterium. Its description in RNAcentral is "bacterial SSU rRNA". It matches the Rfam family "Bacterial small subunit ribosomal RNA", at positions 100 to 565 of the family's 1533-position model. The record is from RNAcentral.